This 279-nucleotide ribosomal RNA is filed under the name uncultured bacterium. RNAcentral describes it as "partial 16S ribosomal RNA". It matches the Rfam family "Bacterial small subunit ribosomal RNA", at positions 506 to 784 of the family's 1533-position model. The record is from RNAcentral.
UGCCAGCCGCCGCGGUAAUACGGAGAAGGCUAGCGUUGUUCGGAAUUACUGGGCGUAAAGCGCACGUAGGCGGACUAUUAAGUCAGGGGUGAAAUCCCGGGGCUCAACCCCGGAACUGCCUCUGGUAUUGGUAGUCUUGAGUUCGAGAGAGGUGAGUGGAAUUCCGAGUGUAGCGGUGAAAUGCGUAGAUAUGUAGAGGAACACCAAUAACGAAGGUAACUCACUAGGCUAUUACUGACGCUGAGGUACGAAAGCCAGGGGAGCGAAUGGGAUUAGAUA